This 488-nucleotide signal recognition particle RNA is filed under the name Chlorocebus sabaeus (green monkey). RNAcentral's name for it is "Metazoan signal recognition particle RNA". It matches the Rfam family "Metazoan signal recognition particle RNA". From Rfam's summary of the family: The signal recognition particle (SRP) is a universally conserved ribonucleoprotein. It is involved in the co-translational targeting of proteins to membranes. The eukaryotic SRP consists of a 300-nucleotide 7S RNA and six proteins: SRPs 72, 68, 54, 19, 14, and 9. Lineage: Eukaryota; Metazoa; Chordata; Mammalia; Primates; Cercopithecidae. The record is from Rfam by way of RNAcentral.
GCUGGGCCCAGUGGUGUGCACCUGUAGACCUAGCUGUUUCGGAGGCUGAGGCAGGAGGAUCACUUGAGCUCAGGAGUUCUGGGCUGUAGUGUCCUAUGCCAAUUGGGUAUCAGCACUAAGUUCAGCAUCAAUAUGGUGACCUCAUCUGGGUACAGUGGCUAAUGCCUAUAAUCCCAGCAUUUUAGGAGGCCAAGGUGGGAGGAUCACUUGAGCCUCAGAAUUCGAGGCUGCAGUGAGCUAUGACCAUGCCCACUGCACUUCAGACUUCAACCUGGGCAACAGAGGCCCUGCCUCUUAAAAAAAACAAAAGAAAGAAAAACAUGGUGUCCUCCUGGGAGUGAAAGACCAGCAGGUUGCCUACAAAGGGGUGAACUGACCCAGGUUGGAAACUGAGCAGGUCAAAACUCCUGUGCUGAUUAGUAGUGGGAUUGCACCUUUGAAUAUCCACUGCACUGUAGCCUGGCCAACACAGUGAGACCCCAUGUCUA